This 497-nucleotide ribosomal RNA is filed under the name uncultured bacterium. RNAcentral's name for it is "partial 16S ribosomal RNA". It matches the Rfam family "Bacterial small subunit ribosomal RNA", at positions 28 to 507 of the family's 1533-position model. The record is from RNAcentral.
GAUGAACGCUGGCGGCGUGCCUAAUACAUGCAAGUCGAGCGAACAGAUAAGGAGCUUGCUCCUUUGACGUUAGCGGCGGACGGGUGAGUAACACGUGGGUAACCUACCUAUAAGACUGGGAUAACUUCGGGAAACCGGAGCUAAUACCGGAUAACAUUUGGAACCGCAUGGUUCUAAAGUGAAAGAUGGUUUUGCUAUCACUUAUAGAUGGACCCGCGCCGCAUUAGCUAGUUGGUAAGGUAACGGCUUACCAAGGCGACGAUACGUAGCCGACCUGAGAGGGUGAUCGGCCACACUGGAACUGAGACACGGUCCAGACUCCUACGGGAGGCAGCAGUAGGGAAUCUUCCGCAAUAGGCGAAAGCCUGACGGAGCAACGCCGCGUGAGUGAUGAAGGGUUUCGGAUCGUAAAACUCUGUUAUUAGGGAAGAACAAAUGUGUAAGUAACUGUGCACGUCUUGACGGUACCUAAUCAGAAAGCCACGGCUAACUACGUG